AAGUGAAAAUAAGAGAAUGCUGGCAUCCACAUAAUGAUUGGGACAUGUCCAAGGAACAGAAAAGUGAACAGGAUGACCUGAGGAAGACUUCUUACUUCAUCCGAGGAAGACUCCUUACUUCAUCAGGAUGACCACCAGAGGGGGGCUGCGCAAGCGCAGAAGAGGCUGAUGUUGUAAUAGACUGAUGUGGCAAUCCUUGAUGCAUAUGUAUUAGUCAAUGAUGUAAUCUGUGUUGAAUAUGUAUUAGUGACGACAUUUUUAGUGUAUAAAUUGCGAGCGCAAUGUAACGGGGUUGAAGCCAGAUUUGGGCGUGUGCCCCUGGUUUCCCAGCGCUGCAAUAAAGCACCUCAUAUAACCAUUCCGGUGGUUAUGUGUCAGUUCUUACGCUAACAUUUUGGCGACCCAGAUGGGACCUCGCGGGCAUUGCUGAGGUGGAUUGCGUUUCGAUCUUGCUCCAGCCAGCACCAAGAAAUUCUCGGGGAGCCAUCGACCGUGACCGACCUCUGCUGCUCACGACGGACCUCUGACACGGAGCAGGAAACUGUUUGCAUUUGAAUGAGAAAAUCCACAGAAUGGACGGAAAACACAAUUGACAUGGAUCAGACUUCCACAAGGAUUCAAGAACAAUCCGACUCUAUUUGGAAACCAACUGGCCAAGGAAUUGGAAGCAUGGACCACCCAAGGGAAAAUACAGGUACCGAGAUCACAAUACCUUUUGUUACAAUAUGUAGAUGACAUCUUUAUUGCAACAGAACA
This is a long non-coding RNA of Pezoporus occidentalis (night parrot), 756 nucleotides long. RefSeq lists it as uncharacterized. The transcript has 2 exons. Lineage: Eukaryota; Metazoa; Chordata; Aves; Psittaciformes; Psittacidae. The record is from RefSeq and is a predicted model, not a curated record.